GCAUAUCAAUAAGCGGAGGAAAAGAAACCAACAGGGAUUGCUCUAGUAACGGCGAGUGAAGCAGCAAUAGCUCAAAUUUGAAAUCUGGCGUCUUCGACGUCCGAGUUGUAAUUUGUAGAGGAUGCUUCUGAGUGGCCACCGACCUAAGUUCCUUGGAACAGGACGUCAUAGAGGGUGAGAAUCCCGUAUGCGGUCGGAAAGGCGCUCUAUACGUAGCUCCUUCGACGAGUCGAGUUGUUUGGGAAUGCAGCUCUAAAUGGGAGGUAAAUUUCUUCUAAAGCUAAAUAUUGGCCAGAGACCGAUAGCGCACAAGUAGAGUGAUCGAAAGAUGAAAAGCACUUUGGAAAGAGAGUUAAAAAGCACGUGAAAUUGUUAAAAGGGAAGGGAUUGCAACCAGACUUGCUCGCGGUGUUCCGCCGGUCUUCUGACCGGUCUACUCGCCGCGUUGCAGGCCAGCAUCGUCUGGUGCCGCUGGAUAAGACUUGAGGAAUGUAGCUCCCUCGGGAGUGUUAUAGCCUCUUGUGAUGCAGCGAGCGCCGGGCGAGGUCCGCGCUUCGGCUAGGAUGCUGGCGUAAUGGUCGUAAUCCGCCCGUCUUGAAACACGGACCAAGGAGUCUAACAUCUAUGCGAGUGUUCGGGUGUCAAACCCCUACGCGUAAUGAAAGUGAACGGAGGUGAGAACCGCAAGGUGCAUCAUCGACCGAUCCUGAUGUCUUCGGAUGGAUUUGAGUAAGAGCAUAGCUGUUGGGACCCGAAAGAUGGUGAACUAUGCCUGAAUAGGGUGAAGCCAGAGGAAACUCUGGUGGAGGCUCGCAGCGGUUCUGACGUGCAAAUCGAUCGUCAAAUUUGGGUAUAGGGGCGAAAGACUAAUCGAACCAUCUAGUAGCUGGUUCCCUGCCGAAGUUU
This 906-nucleotide ribosomal RNA is filed under the name Cladosporium iridis. RNAcentral describes it as "LSU rRNA". It matches the Rfam family "Eukaryotic large subunit ribosomal RNA", at positions 38 to 969 of the family's 3401-position model. Lineage: Eukaryota; Fungi; Ascomycota; Dothideomycetes; Cladosporiales; Cladosporiaceae. The record is from RNAcentral.